UCGAGUGUUAAAACUCCCAAACCUUUGUGAACAUUACCUUUUGUUGCUUCGGCGGGAUCGCCCCGGGCGCCUUCGAGUGCCCCGGAGUCAGGCGCCCGCCGGGGGACCUAAACUCUUUUGUAUACCCCCUCGCGGGUUUUUAUAUCUGAGCCAUCUCGGCGCCUCUCGUAGGCGUUUCGAAAAUGAAUCA
RNAcentral lists this unclassified non-coding RNA (190 nucleotides) under uncultured Bionectriaceae. RNAcentral's name for it is "sequence contains ITS1". The record is from RNAcentral. Lineage: Eukaryota; Fungi; Ascomycota; Sordariomycetes; Hypocreales.